Molecule: ribosomal RNA, 497 nt
Filed under: uncultured bacterium
Lineage: Bacteria
Description: partial 16S ribosomal RNA
Rfam family: Bacterial small subunit ribosomal RNA
Source: RNAcentral
GAUGAACGCUGGCGGCGUGCCUAAUACAUGCAAGUCGAGCGAACGGACGAGAAGCUUGCUUCUCUGAUGUUAGCGGCGGACGGGUGAGUAACACGUGGAUAACCUACCUAUAAGACUGGGAUAACUUCGGGAAACCGGAGCUAAUACCGGAUAAUAUUUUGAACCGCAUGGUUCAAAAGUGAAAGACGGUCUUGCUGUCACUUAUAGAUGGAUCCGCGCUGCAUUAGCUAGUUGGUAAGGUAACGGCUUACCAAGGCAACGAUGCAUAGCCGACCUGAGAGGGUGAUCGGCCAAACUGGAACUGAGACACGGUCCAGACUCCUAAGGGAGGUAGCAGUAGGGAAUCUUCCGCAAUGGGCGAAAGCCUGACGGAGCAACGCCGCGUGAGUGAUGAAGGUCUUCGGAUCGUAAAACUCUGUUAUUAGGGAAGAACAUAUGUGUAAGUAACUGUGCACAUCUUGACGGUACCUAAUCAGAAAGCCACGGCUAACUACGUG